UACGAAGGGGGCUAGCGUUGUUCGGAAUUACUGGGCGUAAAGGGCGCGUAGGCGGUGUGUCAAGUCAGGCGUGAAAGCCCCGGGCUCAACCUGGGAACCGCGCUUGAGACUGGCACGCUCGAGUUCGGGAGAGGAUGGUGGAAUUCCCAGUGUAGAGGUGAAAUUCGUAGAUAUUGGGAAGAACACCGGUGGCGAAGGCGGCGUCCUGGACCAACACUGACACUGAGGAGCGAAAGCCAGGGGAGCAAACGGG
This 253-nucleotide ribosomal RNA is filed under the name uncultured bacterium. Its description in RNAcentral is "partial 16S ribosomal RNA". It matches the Rfam family "Bacterial small subunit ribosomal RNA", at positions 524 to 776 of the family's 1533-position model. The record is from RNAcentral.